Molecule: ribosomal RNA, 253 nt
Filed under: uncultured bacterium
Lineage: Bacteria
Description: partial 16S ribosomal RNA
Rfam family: Bacterial small subunit ribosomal RNA
Source: RNAcentral
UACGUAGGGGGCUAGCGUUGUCCGGAAUCAUUGGGCGUAAAGCGCGUGUAGGCGGCCCGGUAAGUCCGCUGUGAAAGUCGGGGGCUCAACCCUCGGAUGCCGGUGGAUACUGUCGGGCUAGAGUGCGGAAGAGGCGAGUGGAAUUCCUGGUGUAGCAGUGAAAUGCGUAGAGAUCAUGAGGAAGACCAGUGGCGAAGGCGGGUCUCUGGACAGUUCCUGACACUGAGGCACGAAGGCCAGGGGAGCAAACGGG